GAUUAUUUAGUUUAAUUUAAAACAAAUGUUUUGAAAACAUUAAAUAAGAUAAAAAUUUCUUAGUAGUCU
This 69-nucleotide transfer RNA is filed under the name Clistocoeloma sinense. RNAcentral describes it as "tRNA-Ser". It matches the Rfam family "tRNA". From Rfam's summary of the family: Transfer RNA (tRNA) molecules are approximately 80 nucleotides in length. Their secondary structure includes four short double-helical elements and three loops (D, anti-codon, and T loops). The record is from RNAcentral. Lineage: Eukaryota; Metazoa; Arthropoda; Malacostraca; Decapoda; Sesarmidae.